GGACAUACAGGAGUGGGGAAGAUAUGCAGCAAAGGGUCAAGAGCAGGAAUCGAACCCAGGCCGCUGCGUCGGAGGCCACUCGCUAUACAUGGAGAGAUGAGAUGGGGAAGACAUGCAACAAAGGGCCACGAGCAGGAAUUGAACCCAGGCCGCUGCGUCGGAGACCAGCCCCAAUCCACGGAGGUAUAGGAAGAGACAGGAAAUUCAAAGAUGAGUUGGGGGAAGACAUGCAGCAAAGGGCCGGGAGCAGGAUUUGAACCCUUGCCACUGUGUCGGAGAUCAACCCCUAUAUAUGGUUCGCCUGCUUAACCCACUGAGCUACACAGGUGCCCAAGUGUUUUACAUUAUUUCAUCAUAUGGCAUGUUCUUACGACAUGUUGAAAAAAAUCCCAUUUUUUUUGACAUAGUAUACGAUGGGGGUUUUUUUGGACAAAAUUCAUCAUAUUUUUUCUUCAAAAUAA
This is a long non-coding RNA of Acanthochromis polyacanthus (spiny chromis), 461 nucleotides long. RefSeq lists it as uncharacterized. Lineage: Eukaryota; Metazoa; Chordata; Actinopteri; Pomacentridae. The transcript is spliced from 3 exons. The record is from RefSeq and is a predicted model, not a curated record.